Molecule: ribosomal RNA, 492 nt
Filed under: uncultured bacterium
Lineage: Bacteria
Description: partial 16S ribosomal RNA
Rfam family: Bacterial small subunit ribosomal RNA
Source: RNAcentral
AGUGAACGCUGGCGGUAGGCCUAACACAUGCAAGUCGAACGGCAGCACAGUAAGAGCUUGCUCUUACGGGUGGCGAGUGGCGGACGGGUGAGGAAUACAUCGGAAUCUACUUUGUCGUGGGGGAUAACGUAGGGAAACUUACGCUAAUACCGCAUACGACCUACGGGUGAAAGCAGGGGAUCUUCGGACCUUGCGUGAUUGAAUGAGCCGAUGUCGGAUUAGCUAGUUGGCGGGGUAAAGGCCCACCAAGGCGACGAUCCGUAGCUGGUCUGAGAGGAUGAUCAGCCACACUGGAACUGAGACACGGUCCAGACUCCUACGGGAGGCAGCAGUGGGGAAUAUUGGACAAUGGGCGCAAGCCUGAUCCAGCCAUGCCGCGUGGGUGAAGAAGGCCUUCGGGUUGUAAAGCCCUUUUGUUGGGAAAGAAAAGCAGCAGGUUAAUACCCCGCUGUUCUGACGGUACCCAAAGAAUAAGCACCGGCUAACUUCGUG